Molecule: long non-coding RNA, 981 nt
Organism: Astatotilapia calliptera (eastern happy)
Lineage: Eukaryota; Metazoa; Chordata; Actinopteri; Cichliformes; Cichlidae
Source: Ensembl
CUUUUUCUUUCUUUUGUACAGUGAGUAUUCAUUAUACUUUUAAUAUCUUUCUAGAAAGGUUAUAGGAAUGUGCACAAUUUUUAUUUCUGUUUAUAUAUUUAUUUGUUUUGUCCAAUUAAACAGUCUUUAUAUAAAUGUAUUGUCUAAACACCUUUGAUCAGUCUCUUGUGUAAUAUAUUGUUUUAUGUUCUUAAUUAAAUUAAAAUUAACAUCAAACGUUUCUUAAUUUCUAAUUGUUCUUCUUCAUGUGUUUGGUAUAAUUUCUCUUCUGCAGGUGACUCUGACUGUUCUACAGAAAUUAGAGUACGUCGCAACACAGUUUAUAAUGCAUCAGCUGGACAACAACUUUGGAUUAAUUGCCCAGUAUUUUUUUGCAAUGAUUCACCAACAACAGUCACCUGGUAUAAAGUUGAGGAAGCUAUUGUCCCCGUCAAUGUCAGCGGUGACAGUCACAUUAAAACAGAUUUGAAACCUUUAAACAAAUCAGUAUGGAUCUUCUAUUUGAUCUUCCAGAACAUUCUCAGACAUGACUCUGGUCAGUAUCAGUGUCAAGGUGGAGGGAGUACGAGUCAUGCCAUCACUGUCAAUGUCUAUGAUCAUGCUGAAAUUACCACUAUUACACAGAAUAAUGUCAGAGUCAGCACGACUUCUGCUCCUGAAAAUACAGAAACCUUGUUGCUGUACGUGUACUCUGCUGCUGGGAUCGCCACAUUCGUCAUCAUAGUCAUAAUCAUAUCUGUCAUAUCAAUGCGAGGCUGUAAAGGGAAGCCAAAGAAAGACAGUCAAGCUGAAAAUCAGCAGGUGGAGAUCCCCAUGGUGGAUCAGUUCUUUUCAAAAGUAAUCUUUGAGCACUUGGAAAGAGGAGGCCCCUCUGCUCUGCAAUCUCGGAGAUGUAACAAGGGAAGAACACCAUCAAUGCAACACAUUGAGAUGACAUUAUCAAGAGAUAAUGAGAAGGCAUAUUGACCAAUCCGCGUGGGC